RNAcentral lists this ribosomal RNA (1306 nucleotides) under uncultured bacterium. RNAcentral describes it as "bacterial SSU rRNA". It matches the Rfam family "Bacterial small subunit ribosomal RNA", at positions 28 to 1381 of the family's 1533-position model. The record is from RNAcentral.
AACGUACGCUGGCGGCACGCCUAACACAUGCAAGUCGAACGAAGUAGCAAUACUUAGUGGCAGACGGGUGAGUAACAUGUAGGUAUCUGCCCUUUGGCCUGGAAUAACACGAGGAAACUUGUGCUAAUACCGGAUAAGUCUUUACGGAGAAAGCUUUAUGCACCAUUGGAUGAGCCUGCACUUGAUUAGUUUGUUGGUGGGGUAAUGGCCUACCAAGACUGUGAUCAAUAGCUGAUUUGAGAGGAUGAUCAGCCACAUUGGGACUGAGACACGGCCCAAACUCCUACGGGAGGCAGCAGUGGGGAAUCUUGCACAAUGGAGGAAACUCUGAUGCAGCGAUGCCGCGUGAGUGAAGAAGGCCCUUGGGUUGUAAAGCUCUUUCGUCGGGGAAGAAAAUGACUGUACCCGAAUAAGAAGGUCCGGCUAACUUCGUGCCAGCAGCCGCGGUAAUACGAAGGGACCUAGCGUAGUUCGGAAUUACUGGGCUUAAAGAGUUCGUAGGUGGUUGAAAAAGUUAGUGGUGAAAUCCCAGAGCUUAACUCUGGAACUGCCAUUAAAACUUUUCAGCUAGAGUAUGAUAGAGGAAAGCAGAAUUUCUAGUGUAGAGGUGAAAUUCGUAGAUAUUAGAAAGAAUACCAAUUGCGAAGGCAGCUUUCUGGAUCAUUACUGACACUGAGGAACGAAAGCAUGGGUAGCGAAGAGGAUUAGAUACCCUCGUAGUCCAUGCCGUAAACGAUGUGUGUUAGACGUUGGAAAUUUAUUUUCAGUGUCGCAGGGAAACCGAUAAACACACCGCCUGGGGAGUACGACCGCAAGGUUAAAACUCAAAUGAAUUGACGGGGAUCCGCACAAGUAGUGGAGCAUGUGGUUUAAUUCGAAGAUACGCGCAGAACCUUACCAACACUUGACAUGUUCGUCGCGACUCUAAGAGAUUAGAGUUUUCGGUUCGGCCGGACGAAACACAGGUGCUGCAUGGCUGUCGUCAGCUCGUGUCGUGAGAUGUUGGGUUAAGUCCCGCAACGAGCGCAACCCUCACUUUUAGUUGCCAUCAUUAAGUUGGGCACUCUGAAAGAACUGCCAGUGAUAAGCUGGAGGAAGGUGGGGAUGACGUCAAGUCCUCAUGGCCCUUACGUGUUGGGCUACACACGUGCUACAAUGGUAUCUACAACAGGAAGCAAGACUGCGAAGUUAAGCAAAUCCUUAAAAGAUACCUCAGUUCGGAUUGCACUCUGCAACUCGAGUGCAUGAAGCUGGAAUUACUAGUAAUCGUGGAUCAGCGUGCCACGGUGAAUGCGUUCCCGGGUCU